RNAcentral lists this ribosomal RNA (507 nucleotides) under uncultured bacterium. Its description in RNAcentral is "partial 16S rRNA". The record is from RNAcentral.
GCACAGAGUUAGCCGUCCCUUCCUCUUCCGCUACUAUCAGGUUGUCAUCUUUUAAAUAACAACGGUUGAUCGCAAAUGACAGGGGUUUACGGGCCGAAGCCAUUCAUCCCCCACGCGGCGUCGCUCCAUCAGGCUUUCGCCCAUUGUGAAAAAUUCUCGACUGCUGCCACCCGUAGGUGUCUGGACCGUGUCUCAGUUCCAGUGUGGCUGGUCGUCCUCUCAGACCAGCUACCCGUCUUAGCCUUGGUGGGCCGUUACCUCACCAACUAGCUGAUAGGCCGCGGGCUCAUCGUGAAGUGCCAGGCCUUACGGUCCCCAGCUUCAAAGUCAGGAAGAUGCCCUCCCGACGUCACAUCCGGUAUUAGCUCGCCUUUCAGCGAGUUAUCCCGGGCUUCACGGCAGAUUACCCACGUGUUACGCACCCUUGCGCCGCUGAACUUCCAGAAUAUUGCUACCCUGAAAAUCCCGCUCGACUUGCAUGUCUUAUCCACGCCGCCAGCGUUCGUU